UACGUAGGGUCCGAGCGUUGUCCGGAAUUAUUGGGCGUAAAGAGCUCGUAGGCGGUUUGUCGCGUCUGCUGUGAAAUCCCGAGGCUCAACCUCGGGCCUGCAGUGGGUACGGGCAGACUUGAGUGGUGUAGGGGAGACUGGAAUUCCUGGUGUAGCGGUGGAAUGCGCAGAUAUCAGGAGGAACACCGACGGCGAAGGCAGGUCUCUGGGCAAUUACUGACGCUGAGGAGCGAAAGCGUGGGGAGCGAACAGG
RNAcentral lists this ribosomal RNA (253 nucleotides) under uncultured bacterium. RNAcentral describes it as "partial 16S ribosomal RNA". It matches the Rfam family "Bacterial small subunit ribosomal RNA", at positions 524 to 776 of the family's 1533-position model. The record is from RNAcentral.